Molecule: non-coding RNA, 15003 nt
Organism: Podarcis lilfordi (Lilford's wall lizard)
Lineage: Eukaryota; Metazoa; Chordata; Lepidosauria; Squamata; Lacertidae
Source: the annotation of a GenBank genome assembly
CCUGCCUGAACUCUGUGAUCUGCUCUGGAGAAUCAGCUCUCUGGUCCAUCAAUAUGAGAACUUAGACUGACAGGUAUUAGGAACAGGGCCUUUUCAGUGGUGACCCCAUACUUAUAGAAUAUGAUCCCCUAUGAAGUACGUAUGGCCCCUUCAUUGCUGACAUUAAAAGAACAACCCUCAAAGCAUUUUUAUUUCAAUCUGCUUUUUAGUAAUAUUUUUAAUUCCCAUGCCUUGGUGUUUUUUCUGCCAGUUUCAAAGGGGUGCAAUUGGAGAUUAUAAAUGGCUGAUUUAUAUGCUUUGCGACUGGUAUUGCACACCGUCUUGUGAGGACACUUGUCAUAUAAAUCUUUUACUGAUUAAAAAAAUAAUAAUUUAUUUUGCCUGCAAAAUGGUUUUACUAUUGAUGGGGGUCAUCACGAGAGGUUUGACUAUAUGUAGGGUUGCUUUUUCUGCAGGUUCCCAGUACUAACGCAGCAGAUUUCUGCAUCCCCCUCAGAGUUCUGCAUUAAAUAUACAUUCCCUCCGAAUAAGAACAAGUGGGGCUUUCUCCUUCUGCUUUCUGUUUUAAAUAUGCUAUGCUGUAAUACUGUAAUCGUGCUUCUAAUGAUGUUCCCUGUGCAAUGGACAUGGAAUGUUUCUUUGUUGAUGCUCUUGGAUUUCUUAGCAACUGUGGGGGGGACUCUGCAGUAAUUCUGGCCCUAUCUAGGAGUAGAUUCCAGAAAGUAGUGCAGAUCCUCCCCUUGGCCUUCUGUUUGUGGAGUGCCACAGGAUUCAAUCGGUUCUUGACACUGCUGGGGGAAGUCAUCCAGAGGUACUGGUGGGCUGGUGACAGCCAACUCUCUCUCCCUCUCUCUGCCACCCAUUUCCCACCAAGGCAGUGAAUGUUCUGAACUGGGGCUUGGAGACAUUCAUUCUUAUUUGCUUGCACAAAACUUGCACAGUGGUUAGAAUAUGUACGGUCUUUAUUGAGCAUUUGUUUUUAUUCAUUCAUUCAUGGGUUGAUUAUAUAACAAGGAUCAUUCAUCCUGAUAGGCUUUGUUUACACAUAUUCCUCUUCAUCAUUUGAUCCUCCCACACUUUUCAGUGAACUUCCCAGUCACUUUCCAAACUGCAAAAAGGUUAUUAAAAACACACACACACACGAAGCGGAUUUGUUGCACUAGGGCUUUAAUCUGCUUGAAUUGCACAAACCUAAUGUUCUGGUAGGGACGUGGGUGGCGCUGUGAGUUAAACCACAGAGCCUAGGACUUGCCGAUCAGAAGGUCGGCAGUUCGAAUCCCCGCGACGGGCUGAGCUCCCGUUGCUCGGUCCCUGCUCCUGCCAACCUAACAGUUCAAAAGCACGUCAAAGUGCAAAUAGAUAAAUAGGUACCACUCUGGCGGGAAGGUAAACAGCGUUUCCGUGCGCUGCUCUGGUUCGCCAGAAGCGGCUUAGUCAUGCUGGCCACAUGACCCGGAAGCUGUACGCUGGCUCCCUCGGCCAAAAAAGUGAGAUGAGCGCCGCAACCCCAGAGUCGGCCAUGACUAGACCUAAUGGUCAGGCGUCCCUUUACCUAAUGUUCUGGUAAGCAACUGAAUCCCUCCUGCAAAAUAGUGACAAUCAGGAGGCACCCAAUGAUGAUAAGAGUGAUCAAAACAAUGCUUAAUCAAGACAUAGGGAGCUCCUGUUGCUUGAAGGCAUCUCUGAUCUAGAGAUAGGUAUAUAACUGGUGGUAGACUGGGUGGCUUAGGCUUUUUCUUGGAGAGGAAUGACCUAGCCAAGUGAUUCCUCAUUUGUACUACUAUAAAGAGCUGCACACGACUGCUUUCAAAAAAUGAUUAUAAACCACAGAUGCUUCAGAAUGCAGCUCUUAGGAUUUUGAGUGGAGCAGUCCACGGAGGCCUGUAAUGCCAUAUUUACAGCAACUUCACUGACUUACAGUUAGUUUCUGAUCCCAACUGAAAGGUCACUUUCAUAUUCACAGCCUUAAAUCUACUGGGUCCAGGAUAUGUUUUUAGGGCCACCUGAUAUUGUAUAAGCUUACUUUGAAGUCCUCCUCUGCAUGCUCCUGAUCAUUUGAAGUACAGUGUGUGUGUGCGCGUGCGUGCGCAGAAUAGGACACACACACACACAUACACGCACAUGCAUGCAGUGCUUUUUUCUAAAAAAAUGUUUAGGUGUAUGCGUACCCCUGCUUACUCCCAGAAAAAAGCACUGUAGAUAGAUAGAGAGAGUGUGUUUUUAUUGAAAGUUUUCAGCAUACAAUAAAAAAUAAACUAAUUUAAAUGGAAAAGAAAGAAAGAAAACAGAGAAAACAGGAGGAAAAAGAGAGAAAAAUAAAAUACAGAACUCUCUUAACCGUUAUCUUACAAAUAAAAGGGGGUGGUCCCUCUCAGCUCUCACCUGGAAACUUCCAUUUCUUCUUCCAGCCUCCCACCCUGGGAAUUCUUCCCUUCCCUGCCUCCAUCAGUCCUCCAUCACCUUCCUGUGAGUAUCCUCAUCAACCAGAAUAGGACCUUCUCAGUGAUGAUUCGAAAGUUAUAGAACUCCCUUCCUAGGCCACAUUGGGGUAUUCUGAAUGCAUUUUUAUGACAGCUGUAUGCUGUCCCCGCCCCCUUGUUUCUGCUGUUUGAUGUUUCUUUGGGGUUUUAUUGCAUUUCCUCUUCUGCACUGUGUUACCCUCACUCUGAAUGGGUGUCAAGGGAUCAGGGAGAUGGUGAAAGCACCAACGGAUGCUGGGAAGGAAAGCAUAGGUGUUGGCUAUGCUGGUGUUUUCCUGCCUAUUGUGCUAUGAUAAUUGGAUGGUCUUGGUUGGGAAGCCAGACAUAUUGCUUCCCCACCUUCUGGUAGAUUCUGCCCCUGCACACUUUGGCACCUCGGGGUGGUGGGAAAUCACACCAAAAAAGGAUGGAUGCUUUUUAGAUCAGGUGAAAGGGUUCGCACACAGUCACAAACACUUGUGGUUUCUGCUCAGAUGUACAUGAAAUGCUUUGCCCUUGAGAUGACUGCUGUAUUGCAACACUCUUCAUGCUUCAGGGGUCAUUAAUAGCACCAUGGCAGCACUUGGUGACAAAACAGAGCAUUAACCUGAUUAGCUCAUAUUUGAGCACAUCCUUUGCAAACAGCCUGGUCUUCCUUAGGAUGAGACAAAUGUCUCCAGUUUUGUGGAAUGAGACUACCGGUAUAUAUGGGUUUUUACACAAACACACCUGGGGGGAAGGCUGGGAGACUUCAUGUCCGGGACAUGAAUUGGAAAAGAACCUGCUUCACAGUGUGGAUUGGAGGGAUUUCCAACCAUGGGGGCUUGCAUCCAAAUAUGCAGGGACCAAGGAUACAGACAAUGGGUUGUGGGUGGGUGGGUGAGAUCAUGUAGGUCUUUGAUAGUUUAAUUUGUUCCCAGGUUAUUUCUCAGCUAGAAAUCAAUGUAGUCGUCCAGUGGCUUGGGAUAGUUGAGAGUUAGAAAAACGAGUUUUGGAGCCAUUAUUACUGUGGUAUGGAGGAGUCGUGGCAAAACGACACUAAGUACAUUUGUAACUUGACAAGGUUUGAAAUGCUUAGGAGGGGCACAGUUGCACUGGGCUUCAAGUUUCACAAACAGCUGCUGAAGUGAAGUGGGCAUAGGAGAUUCCAUGGCAACAAAUGGGCCCCAUGUAGUUUCCCUAUUGCCCUAGUCCAAAGGUGAGGAAACGCCAUCCUUUGGGCAAAUCUUGCUCUGCCAGGGGUUCCAACCUGGAAGGCCCUUUUUCAAAACCACUCCCACCUGUCAAUCAUCUAACAAUCUGUUGAGCAGAGGAGUAAAUCCUGCUCAUUUCGGUAGGGUUCAGUGCAAAACUGUUCCCAAUCAGGGGACUUGGGCACUUCAGAGCACCAAGUCACUUGUUGGCCACCAACUUGGAUGACUUUCAAAGAGGACAAAUUCAUGGAGGAUAAAGCUAUCAGUGUCUGCUAGUCAUGGGGUAACUGUCUUGCCUCCCCUGUUGGAGGCAGUGUGCUUCUGCAUGUCAGUUGUUGGGAACGGCAAGUGGAGAGAGUGCUGCUGUGCUCAGGCCCUUCCUUCAGGCUUCCCACAGGUUGUUUGUUGUGAGAAGAGGAUGCUGAAGUAAUUGGGCCUUUGGCCUGAUCCAGCAGGACUCUUCUGCUCAAGCAAAAGCUUAUUGGCAAAAUGGAACGAUCCUUCUCCUGUCUCUAAGAACUACUGUCACAUUGCCGCUUUCUAAUAGCAAAGACGAUGCCAAUUUCUUAAACUCAUCUCUGGAGCAAAGAGGCACUUACAGGAGCAGCCCGAUGCUGUGGCAGUUCAUUUACUCCUCUGCUGCUUGCAGUGGGAUGAAAAUGGAGCCCUGCUUAAACUUCAUUGAUGGUAGGUGGCAGAAAUUCUGCAGGAAAAGCCAGGAGGUGACAGCUGUACUGUAUGUGGCACCGCCAUGUUGCCCUACAAGAUGCCAUUUUGUGAGUUCCAGCUGCAGCCUUGGAAUGGCUCCUCCUAGUGGUGGUGAGGGCAAGUGGGGUGUGUUUGUGGUCCACACACCAUCCAAUUCCCCUGUUGCCGACACUCUGCCUGCGUUGCUAUCUCUCGCAGAGGGAACCUCCCCCCCUGCUGUCUGUGCCUCGACAAUAGUGUCAGCAGGCUCAAAGUAAAUAGUUAUUUUAUAAUCUUAUGUUUCUAUCAGUCAACUAAUGGGCUCUCUCAAACACCAGGGCUGCAGGAGUUCUGUGCCAUUAAGCUGUAUAAUGCCAUAUUUCUCAGCUGACAGUCCUGUGCUCUCAUCAGCAUUGCUUACAGUGGCAGAAUCAUAAUCAAAGCAGGUGGAAAGAAAAGAGGAACAGCAGACUCCUUUACAGAGCAGCGUGAUGUGAAGGGCAGGCUGGAUGCCUUGGGGAAGGAGCUUGGGGGCAACUGCUGGACCAGCAGCUUAAAUCCCAGUAGUAUUUCAGAGGGAGAAUUCAGGCAACGCAGCAUAUUUGGCUCCCAGAUGCUCAAUCCCCACAGCAUCUCUCUGCAGCCUGCUUGACCUUCCUUGCAAUGCAAGAUGUCAGCCUCAGAUGCUCUGCCUUUAGUCACUACAUGCCAGGGCAGGGUGGACCUACCCUAAAAGCUGGCUUGAAUGCAGCAGACAGACUUUAUGGAAAGGGAGUCUACAAAUCUUCUUCUUCUUCUUCUUCUUCUUCUUCUUCUUCUUCUUCUUCUCAUCACUCGUAGCCGAGUAAGAUUGUCUUCCAUAAACAUGGUUUUAACAAUGAGUCCUUAAGUGACUGUGGAGGCCAAUUCUGGAUCCACACGUCCUUCCACAGUGGGGACACUGGUUUCCUGGCAGGAGUUGAUAAUGGUGUGGAUUUGCCAAGCGUGCCUUCCUCUUAGCACGUUUCUCCCUUGCGUCCUGAGUUCAAGUGUCUUCAAAGCCCAUGACAGCUUUGGUAAAGGCUGUUCUCCAAUUGGAGCACUCACAGGCAAGUGUUUCCCAGUUGUCAGUGUUUAUACUCCAUUUUUUUAGAUUUGCCUUGAGACAGUCUUUAAACCUCUUUUGUUGACCACCAGCAUUACGCUUUCCAUUUUUAAGUUCGGAAUAGAGUAGUUGCUUUGGAAGACAAUAAUCAGGCAUCCGCACAACAUGACCAGUCCAACAAAGUUGAUGUUGAAGAAUCAUUGCUUCAACACUGGUGAUCUUUGCUUCUUCCAGUACACUGGUAUUAGUUUGCCUGUCUUCCCAAGUGAUGUGUAAAUUUUUUUGGAGACACCAUUGACGGAAUCUUUCAAGGAGCUGGAGAUGGCAUUUAUAAGUGGUCCAUGCUUCACAAGCAUACAGUAAGGUUGGUAGAACAAUAGCUUUGUAAACAAGCAUUUUCAUUUCCCUGCGAAUGUCCUCAAACACUCUGCACUUCAAUCAGGAGAAAGCUACAGUCGGAGAGCUCAGGCGAUGCUGGAUUUCAGCAUCAAUGUUGGCUCUUGUGGAAAGAUAACUGCCCAGGUAGGAGAAGUGAUUGACAUUUUCCAACGUUACACCAUUGAGUUGGAUUUGUGGCACUGCAGAGGGGUUAUUUUGUACUUGGUUUCAUUUGGGAGUUCCAACAGUAUCUGAAUGGCCACUGAAUCCCCAUUUAGGGAAGCAAUAAGGGGAGCUUUUUGCUGAACCACGGGAGUGGUGUGAGAGUGGCACUGGAAAGAACUAUGAGAGGGAAAACCAGAGCAUUGUAGAGUGGGGACAGAGAUUCUUUAUAUCAAUGACUGUAGCUUCUAUGCAGCAGCAGCAGACUUCUCCUUCAAGGGUAUGGCUCACUAGGGAAAAAAUAUCAGUUUGUAAUUUAUGAUUAUCAUAUGCAAUUUGUGCAAUCAGGAGCUGAUACUGCAAGGAAAGAGAUGAACUGCAAAAGAGGGUCAAGCAAAUCAGAGCCCUGAGCGGCCAAUAGCAGCAGGCUUAUUUUGGGUGAUGGUGCUUCAACGGCAUCAGUGUGAGCCAAUCAAGAUAACAUGCAGGAAGAAGUGGUGGUGAAUGAGUCAUAUGCUGUUUCCUUGGUCUCUUGAUGGGUCCCAAAAGUGGUGCAUGCUGCAAUUUCUGGCUACCACCACCGAGUAAAAGGCAUCUAAUUUGACACACUCCUGGGGAUAGCUGCCUUGCAGACGUGCUUGUAGAUCAGUGGCUCCAGCUACAUAGUUGGUGCAAUUGUGACGGUCUUUGGCAGUGCUGUUGCAGGUUUGUCCUUCUUUCAGAGCUAUGGCAAUCCUUUCAGCUGUACCAUAACUGAAGGCAACGGCAAGAACAGGAGCCCCAUACAAUACAGAGAAGCCACACAAAACCACACAAAACCAUUAAGCAUGAAUCAAGCAGAAAGCUUUGUGUUUUUGCUUAGUGGUGCAAGGUGUUGGUGUGCAUCUUCAAAAGCAGAAUCCCAUCAUCCCCAAAUCAGAAUAAGAGACGGCUGCCUGGAAAGGGAAAGGCCAGUCAUGUUAUUUGCUGCUGCUCCACACAUCCCCUCUUUGCUGUGCUUGUGGCUUUCCAGCUCAUCCGUCAUGCAGCAACGACAGUCAGCGUGUGACUAAUUUACCCGUAGCUGACUUUAAUAAAUCAUCAGGAAAGCACCGGCUCGGGCACAAAUGAAAAAUUACUUAAUUUUAAUUAAGACUGCACAAUUAAUUUGCAGGACUCCUGCCAGGAGCUGGGGGGUCACUCCGUUCCUGAGCCAGUGCAGUUGGCUUGCCUUGCAGAUGGUAAUAGAAAUCCAGGCUGUUUGGCUGAAAUCUGUGUGGGAUGAGAUGAGGGCAGGAAGCCUGCAGGGCUGGCAGGCACCUGCCUGUUUGGAAACAAGCAAAGCCUUCAGACAGCAUUAAGAGGAAUGCAAGGCAGGAAUAGAUACAGCGGUACCUCAGGUUACAGACGCUUCAGGUUACAGACGCUUCAGGUUACGGACUCCGCUAACCCAGAAAUAGUAGCUCAGGUUAAGAACUUUACCUCAGGAUGAGAACAGAAAUCGCAUGGCAGCAGCAGGAGGCCCCAUUAGCUAAAGUGGUACCUCAGGUUAAGAACAGACCUCCAGAAGAAAUUAAGUUCUUAACCAGAGGUACCACUGUACGUAGGUUGGAUACCUGGGGUUGGAUCCCAUGAGCUGCUUUGGAUUUGAGCAUUUCUAGAAGGGUUUCCUGGUUCUUUUCUGUAAACAGCAGAGCUCCCCAUGCACCCAUCCCAUAUGCCACAGCACAAAUUCCUUUUUUUUAAAAAAAAAAUUUUAUUAACAGGCCAAUCACAUCACAUUAAUUCCAAAUCACAAUAAUUCCAAAUUACACAGCCAAUUUUUUUAAAAUUUUUGUUGGGGGUACCCAUGCUUCGAGCUCCGAAAGGGAUCCAAUCAUCUCUCUUACUGCUGCUUUAAUUACACAGUUCUGUCAAAAUAUUAUUCACAGUUCUGUUCAAUCUUCUCUUUGUUGUUUUCCUCAUCUUGUUGUUGUUAUCAUAUAUUCCUUUCUUUGUGAUCUCUGAUAAUCUCCACAAGCAGGUUGAAGACAAACGUUGUUAUAUCCUGUGUGGAUUUUACACUCAUCCAAGAGCCAUAAAAGUAGACAGACGUCAUUUCAACACCUCCGUACAAAACAUUCCGACAGUCUGUCCUGAUCUCCCCAGGCCCGCCGCUCCCUCAUAAAUUUUCUCAGCGGGCCCUCCUAUGCCGAACCCACACUCCAACAUAGUAACAGCCAUAGUCCUCCUCCCCCUGAAUUCCUGCGGGCGGGCCUGCCAUGAUGAAUCUCUUUUUAUGACUGCGUCACAAAGGACUUACUUUCGUUUCCCGAUGCUCCCAUAAGCCAUGUCCUUGCAUAGUAAUUAAUUUCCACACAGUUCUUAUUCCUCCUGCUUGUGAUCAGUAAUUGCAACAAUUCUUUUUUGGGGGGGGAGGAUUAUUGGGUAAUCACAUAAGACAAAAAAAGAAAAGUUUUUCUCCCCCCCUCCUUUUCAGUCUCGCUCCGACAUACCGAUCCUUUGAUGAAUCUUCUUCUUGAUUUAUUCUUCUUCUUGAUUUAUUGUUAAGUCCAGCCCGUCGCUCCACUUCCCAGAGAUCCCUUUAGUUAGCAGUCUUUACUCCCGAUCUUCGCUCGAAGUAUGUGCGUUUGCUUCUGUCCUGAUUGUUUAUCUAGAGCUCCCGCAACUAGCUGCGCAGAUCAGAGACAGUGUCCAGGAGAGCCGACCCACACGAGGGCUUUUGUGCCUAGUGCCCUCACCCCCUUUCGAAUCCGGGGAUGAAUUAUGGCCACAGCAGGCAAGGCAGCGUUUCCCAUUCGCUUGGGGUAACGAGGGAGGCUGCAUACUCCCAUAACAGCCUCUUAAUUACCUCGUGUGAGCCGGAGAGAUGGUAUUGUCGGCCAUCUUCCAAUGCCUCCCCUAGCGGCCCCCCAGCACAAAUUCCUUCUGAUAGUCACUUCGGCCUCAAAAGCAGUUUGCCACCUAUACCAGGAGAGGUUCCCGUUCAAGAGACACAACAGACAAUGCCCUUUGCAUAUGGGUCAGGCCAAUGACCCAUCUGGCCCAGCACCCUGUUCUCACAGUGGCCCCCCCCCAGAUGCCUGUGGGAAACCCUCAAGCAGAACCUAAGCACCAAAGCACUCCCCACACGGCCCCAUGGUUUCCAGAAGCACUGGAGAGAUGCAUGAUUCUGAUCAUAGCUAAUAUUGAUGUUGAGGGUAUUCCUGCACACAGACCAAACAUAGGAAGAGCCCUGCUGGGUCAGAUUAAAGGCCCAUCUAGUCCAGCUUCAAAUUUUCCACCGUGGCCAAAUAGAUGCCUAUGGGGAGCUCACAAGCUGGGCAUGAGGACAACGGCUCUCUCCCACUGUUGUUCCCCAAAGACUGGCAUUCAGAUCCAUACCUCCUUUGGUGCAGGGAGCAGCCAUGAUGACUAGCAGUCAUUCACAACCUUGUCCUCCAUGAAUUUGUGUACUCCCCUUCCUCUAUUUAUUUUUUUUUAAAAAACUGAAUAGCACUAUAAACAUAUUUUUUAUAUAUAAAUAAAUAAGCUCUGUACUGUAUACACAAGGACUAUGCAAUGGUGGUGACAUGUGGGGCAGGGGACAGGUGACAAUGAGCGUUCACCGAAGAGUCGCUACCUUGUCUCUUGUGUUACCGGCACACCAAUUUGCUCCCGCUGUGAGCUCUGACAAUGUGAUUACUCUCCUGGGUUCCAAGACUAUCUUAAGGCACAGUUGAAAACAGAUCAGACAUCAAGGUUGCAAUUGUAAUGGUGACUGUCAUAUAAAAUGAUUAGAUGAAGUACGGAUAGAACUGUUGGGAGAUGCAAGCUGAUGAUCAGAAGUGCAGUUCUGUUCUGAGCUGGUGUGUUUUGGCUGCCAGAUGCCAUGGGUCAGCACCAGGGGGGUGGGAUGCUGCCAUUGCCCGUGCUUCUUUGUGGCUUUUAACUGGCCUUGAUUGAUAGGGCAGGAUGCAGAGGCAGAUGGACGAGUGUAUGAAGCAGGCUGGCCAUUCCUGUGUUUUUAACCCGAACCUACUAAUAUAUAACCAAUUCUACUGGAAUCAAUAAGGCCAUCAAAGAGUAAAUGGAUUAAGAAUUGUGGAGCGUUUCAUCUUAUGCAGAAGAGGAAAAUAAUGCGGGAAAGGAAAGGGAAGCUCUUUCCAAACAUAUGGUUGCUUCCCCCCCCCUUUCGUGUUACCAGCAGUUUGAUGGAUGCUGCUACACUGUGAAAUAGCCUGUAAUUACUCAGUGGGACAGUGUGGAUUCAUCAAGCAGUGAUCAAUAUUCACAGCAUCCAAUCAGGUGAAAGUCUUCAGUCCUGGUCUUCGGGCAUAAAGAAGCUCUAAGCUGAUGGAUAGAUGCUGUUUACGUGACAAGCCACAUUACAGGAUUCUCACAGUAAUGCAGUACACACACACACAUGCCCCUUCAGCUAUUUAUUGUAUACAUGGGGGGGGGGGUGGAGAGCAAAAUGUGGGAGAGGGAGGAAAGGGGGUGGAAAAGAUUGGGGGGAGGUGCCCACCCACCAUCGGCUGUGACCUCAUACACCACCAGCAAGUGACUUCCAACAGAUUACUCUGAGGGAAUGUGGCUCUUGACAGGAAAAAGAAAGGUUCUGCACCCCUGUUCUAUUGGAUCAUUCACACAGGGCAUUAAAGGGAAGCAACACUAUCCCUCCCUUCCAUGACAAUGUCAUUUUGUGUACCUUUUUUGUUGUUGUUUUUAAAAAAUCAGUGCUGAGUGUUAGUCAAGUGUUGGGCCACCAUCUAGCUCCUGAGUGGAACUGAUCCCAACACAAUUAGGAGUUCCCUCUAAGGCUCAUCUGUAGCCGUGGCGUCAUUCUGCAUCAGCGGCAAGGAUUGUACCACACUUCUCCAGUGCAACGGAAUGAAUGCAGAAUGAAUGCACAUCUCUUCUGAUUAUUUAGGGGGGAAGGAGACUAUCAAUUUUACUCCAGGGUUCCCAAUAGUGAAACCGGCAAGCAUCCAUUUCCUUCCCUUUUACAUCUUUUAAUCUUAUUUUGUUGAUCAUUUUAAUAUACAGAAAAAGACAGAAAGGGUGAAAUUGUGAAAAACAAAUAAGCUAAUGUCCAGCUUAAAAAAAACAGAUUGUAGAUUUCCAUAUCAUAACCAAGCAGAGUCAAUUAAAAUCAUAAAGGUCCAAAUAAUAUAAACAGAUCUGCAGUCUUGAACCUUCUUACUCCAGUACCUUAUAAGAGCACCCAAUUUUUCUACCAAUUUUUUAAUCUGGUUAUCUGCCUUCUCAGACUCCUGCCAUAACAUCCUUUUUCAGGGGAGCAAAAAGAGAGCUGUGAACUAUUUGCCCAAGGGAGAGAAUAUACCUGGAGUAUGCUUUCCAUGGGCAUGUGACAAAGAUUUGACCUUAAGUACGCAUGUUUGGAAGUAAACUAUGUUGAUGCCAGUGGAACUUAUUUUUGAGUAAACAUGGUUGAGAUCAAUAUUCAAGCCCAUCAUUUUCAGAAGAGGUAAUUGUAUUUGCAGUGGUUCACUGAGAGGCAAUCUCUUUCUGCAAAUUUAGCUCCAACUCCCUGGUGAAAUCCUUGCAAGUAGUCAUCGGGGUUUGCUUUUGCCUCUUCCAGCUAUGUGUGGCACUUGGAGAUGAUAGUUGCUGUGAGUGCAAGAGGGCAUCAUGUUUCCAUGCCACCAAGCUGUGAUCAGAAAACCCUUUGCUAGCUUUUUGGCUGGUCAGAAGGGGAGGAAGAGGAGGUGGCAGUCAAUGGGAAUUAAUCUGGAUUAUUAUUUUUAAAAGAGGAAGUACCAUCUCAAUGCAAGCAAGGCGAUAAAAUGAAGUCAACGAAUGCCUGUGUUUGGUAGAUACCCGACCCCCUCCCUUCUCCUUUUCUGACCCCAGGGGUACAUUUGCUUAGCAACCUGCCUUCCACUCUCUUUCAAAAUUCUACUGAGGGAAGGUUUUACUUCUUCAAUUUUGUUCCAUUAGAAGUAAUGAAAAGGAUCUGUCAGCAUGAACAUCUGGAAUUUCUAUUGGGGAAAACUAACUUUCAGCCGAGGAGCUGACUCCUGCUGCAAGACAACAAGCCCCUGGAUACAUCAGCAACAGGCAGGAGGUCUUUUAAUGCUUGCCUUGCCCUCAAGCGGCUCUGGCAGCUUUCAAGUGUUCCACCAGGAGGACCACUGUCUCUGGCAAAAUCUGACUAAAUGGGUGCAUUGAUUUAAUGCUAAGCAGAUGCUGUCAAGUAAUUAAGACACUCCACUUGGAGGAGUUGCAUUGGGAAAGGAUGAGAAGACACACACACACACCCCAAAGAUGACUAGGCUUCUUUUAUCAUUGUUUAAUAUGGGAUGGGUGGAUGGAUGGAUGGAUAAUAAAUGAAUGAAUGAAAUAAUGAAUGAAUGAAUGAAUGAAUGGAGGUAUUUUGCUGUGGUGUGCCUGGAAAAUGGAAGUCGCUAAGCAGGCACAUGACAAAUGGAGAGAGAGAAAGAGAAUCUGAGACAGAUAGCAAAGAGAGAUCUCUGAUGUGGACUGCUCUGGCCUUAGGGGCCUUUUCAGAUGAUGAAAGAAAUGGCUUUUUUUGUUUGUUCAAUGGGGAAGGGUCAUGAGUCUUGCAUACGGAAGGUCCCACAUUCAAUCCCUUGCUUAUCCAGGUAGGGCUGGGAGAAGACUUGCUGUCUGAAUCCCUGGAGAGCUGCUGCCAGUUAGCAUAGAUUAUAUUGGGCUAGAUAGACCAAUGGCAGCGUCCUAUGUUCCUAUGCCCGCCUUCCCCAACCUGGUGCCAUGCUGGCUGGUACUGAUGGAAGCUGUAGUCCAAAGCAUCUGGUGCUAUGCUGGCUUAAACGUCAUGAUGGCAGGCUUUGUAAUCUGACCCACAGGUGGUAGGUGCCCACAGUUUGCAAGAACGUUUGUCUUGUCUGAACAACAAAGGUGACACACAGGGAGGGGAAAAAGCCAAAUAUUAUAGGUCUUAAACCCCAGAAGAAUGUGUUUAUUAUUCCUGCUCCAGCAUUAAGUAAUAGGAUUGCAUCUGCUCAAAUGAAACAAGCUGGAGUCUAAGCUUUAUUCUUAUCCAGAUGUAUCAGUGGAAAGGAAAAGGAACUCUGCAUAGGCGCCAAAAUAUCUUUUUACAUAAUGAGUACUAAGGCUGAGCAUGGGUCUUGCAAACGGGUUCCAGGGGUUGGUUCUGAUGGGACACAUUUUAAGACAUUUCUAUAUUAUUUUAUUGUAAGCAUGUGACCCUACGCAUAUUUGCUUGCGAGUAGAUUCCCCUAUGUUAUUGGGCUUAUUUGUGUGCUUAGGAUUGCAGUCUGAGACCUUGUGGAGGCAAGCCUUAAUUCUAGCAUUAUAUUUGCAUGGCACAAAGUAAUACUUUCUUUAAAGGUCCUGUACAGAAAUGGUACCAGCCCAAGAUCCGUGCAUUGCCUCUGUGUUGCUUAUAAUAAGACUUGUAUUAAAACUAAAGAGGGUUUGGUUGAUGGAUAUGCUGCCUUUGAAGUAAUCAAUUAAAUUUAAACAAAUUUUCAUGUCACCAGAACCCUUUUGGGCUGUUGAAAAGACUAUUAAGAUAACUUAACAAUUUAAUAAAGAAAAGCUGCAACGCGUUGUGAGAAGGAAAGGCCCCACUUAUUAUAUUAUAAUUCCUUUUUCAUUUCCUAUUGCAGUAACACAAUACCAUUACCAAACCAAAAUAGCCUCAGUAUAUAAACUCGGGUGCCCUAAAAACUCCAAGCCUUGCCCAUUAAUAUUUGCCUCUGCCAAUUAAUCAGCUAAAGCUUUCGCUGAUUAAUGUAGUAUAAGAAGCUCACAGCCUUCAUUAAAACUUGCAGUGCCUUUCCGACAAAGCCUUUGCUUCUCAGCAGGACUUUCCAUGCAUGUACCCCAUGCGUAUCUCUUCACUUGUGACAAAUCUGCCUCGUUUACCAUAUUUUCACAUGGCGAACAUAGAAAUGCAUGUCCGUGGGAGUUCCCAUAUUGCCUGUGCAAGUUGUGCAUUGCAAACUGGCCAUGUGGAAAUGGUUAGGAUAAUUUCUGGAUGCUGGACCAGCAGGCUGCGUGGGGGUGGUGGGGGUGGUUGUGACCAGCGGGGGGCGGAGGCGAGAGAGAAUCUCGCUGUUCUGCACUAGCUCCCAAGCCUGUCAGAGGCACCAGCUGGAGUUUCACCCAGGUGUCAGGCACAGGCAGGUGGAAUAUGAUUCUCAUUUCACAGAAUCAUUAAUCUUCUUUUGGCAGCCUUGCCGAUGAGAUGGGCUCAUGUGAGAUGUGGCCUCCUCACCCCCAUUCUUUUGGCAGAGGGAGUGCCUGUCCCAAGACGUCUUGCUCCCCCCAACAUGACAUAAACAAAAAUGUCGGUGCAAGGGAGAAAGGGGGCUUCUGCUCUGUCUAGAGGCCCUUGGCACAAAGUUUAGUCACUGGGAAGGUUUGAUCUGCAUGGGCAGUCAGCCCUAAGCUGAAGUGCCAUUGCACAGGGCCUGGGCUGUGGGGAAGAAGAGCUGCCAGGAAGAAAGAGGAGACCUGCAGAAGAUCCCAUUGCGCCAUGGCACCAUCUGGUCAGGACUUCAGGGCAGGAGUCUGGAGCCUCACUUGGCAGAUGAACGGGGGGGGGGGGCCUCUGCAAAUGCACCUACUAGGUGGGGAGAGGCUGCCCCAGAUGAUGCAACACGCUGGGGUAUGGGUGGGAAUGAGGCAGUUACUGACACCAGAUCUUCUGCUGCUGUCACCACAAACUGAGGGGGGUGGACAUGAUUGUGAAUAAUGAAACAAAUGCGUCUGCAGCAAAUGUUUAACAAAACAAAUGUGAUUUUAGCAAAGAAAAUACAAGGGAUCUUCAAGAGUGAAAAUGAACGUAACUACAGAGCAAAAGAAAAAUCUCUCAGCACCCUUGUUUCGUAUGGAAGAGCACUUGAAGCCCUUGGUCCCUUUGCCUCAAUCUCCCAGAUUUUCAUUAAACAACCCUUUGAGCAGUGCUUUUUUCUGGGGGUAUUCAAGGGUAUGCACCUUUUUUUCUAGAAGAAAAGCGCUGGUUAAAAAGCACUGAUAUUCACCAGAGCAGAGAUGAGGCAUCUAUGGCCCUGUAGACAUCAUUAGAUGCCUAUCAUGAUGGGUG